UUAAGCGACUAAGCGUACACGGUGGAUGCCCUGGCAGUCAGAGGCGAUGAAGGACGUGCUAAUCUGCGAUAAGCGUCGGUGAGGUGAUAUGAACCGUUAUAACCGGCGAUUUCCGAAUGGGGAAACCCAGUGUGUUUCGACACACUAUCAUUAACUGAAUCCAUAGGUUAAUGAGGCGAACCGGGGGAACUGAAACAUCUAAGUACCCCGAGGAAAAGAAAUCAACCGAGAUUCCCCCAGUAGCGGCGAGCGAACGGGGAGGAGCCCAGAGCCUGAAUCAGUGUGUGUGUUAGUGGAAGCGUCUGGAAAGGCGCGCGAUACAGGGUGACAGCCCCGUACACAAAAAUGCACAUAUUGUGAGCUCGAUGAGUAGGGCGGGACACGUGGUAUCCUGUCUGAAUAUGGGGGGACCAUCCUCCAAGGCUAAAUACUCCUGACUGACCGAUAGUGAACCAGUACCGUGAGGGAAAGGCGAAAAGAACCCCGGCGAGGGGAGUGAAAAAGAACCUGAAACCGUGUACGUACAAGCAGUGGGAGCCUCUUUAUGGGGUGACUGCGUACCUUUUGUAUAAUGGGUCAGCGACUUAUAUUCUGUAGCAAGGUUAACCGAAUAGGGGAGCCGAAGGGAAACCGAGUCUUAACUGGGCGUUAAGUUGCAGGGUAUAGACCCGAAACCCGGUGAUCUAGCCAUGGGCAGGUUGAAGGUUGGGUAACACUAACUGGAGGACCGAACCGACUAAUGUUGAAAAAUUAGCGGAUGACUUGUGGCUGGGGGUGAAAGGCCAAUCAAACCGGGAGAUAGCUGGUUCUCCCCGAAAGCUAUUUAGGUAGCGCCUCGUGAAUUCAUCUCCGGGGGUAGAGCACUGUUUCGGCAAGGGGGUCAUCCCGACUUACCAACCCGAUGCAAACUGCGAAUACCGGAGAAUGUUAUCACGGGAGACACACGGCGGGUGCUAACGUCCGUCGUGAAGAGGGAAACAACCCAGACCGCCAGCUAAGGUCCCAAAGUCAUGGUUAAGUGGGAAACGAUGUGGGAAGGCCCAGACAGCCAGGAUGUUGGCUUAGAAGCAGCCAUCAUUUAAAGAAAGCGUAAUAGCUCACUGGUCGAGUCGGCCUGCGCGGAAGAUGUAACGGGGCUAAACCAUGCACCGAAGCUGCGGCAGCGACACUAUGUGUUGUUGGGUAGGGGAGCGUUCUGUAAGCCUGUGAAGGUGGCCUGUGAGGGUUGCUGGAGGUAUCAGAAGUGCGAAUGCUGACAUAAGUAACGAUAAAGCGGGUGAAAAGCCCGCUCGCCGGAAGACCAAGGGUUCCUGUCCAACGUUAAUCGGGGCAGGGUGAGUCGACCCCUAAGGCGAGGCCGAAAGGCGUAGUCGAUGGGAAACAGGUUAAUAUUCCUGUACUUGGUGUUACUGCGAAGGGGGGACGGAGAAGGCUAUGUUGGCCGGGCGACGGUUGUCCCGGUUUAAGCGUGUAGGCUGGUUUUCCAGGCAAAUCCGGAAAACCAAGGCUGAGGCGUGAUGACGAGGCACUACGGUGCUGAAGCGACAAAUGCCCUGCUUCCAGGAAAAGCCUCUAAGCAUCAGGUAACAUCAAAUCGUACCCCAAACCGACACAGGUGGUCAGGUAGAGAAUACCAAGGCGCUUGAGAGAACUCGGGUGAAGGAACUAGGCAAAAUGGUGCCGUAACUUCGGGAGAAGGCACGCUGAUAUGUAGGUGAAGCGACUUGCUCGUGGAGCUGAAAUCAGUCGAAGAUACCAGCUGGCUGCAACUGUUUAUUAAAAACACAGCACUGUGCAAACACGAAAGUGGACGUAUACGGUGUGACGCCUGCCCGGUGCCGGAAGGUUAAUUGAUGGGAUUAGCGGUAACGCGAAGCUCUUGAUCGAAGCCCCGGUAAACGGCGGCCGUAACUAUAACGGUCCUAAGGUAGCGAAAUUCCUUGUCGGGUAAGUUCCGACCUGCACGAAUGGCGUAAUGAUGGCCAGGCUGUCUCCACCCGAGACUCAGUGAAAUUGAACUCGCUGUGAAGAUGCAGUGUACCCGCGGCAAGACGGAAAGACCCCGUGAACCUUUACUAUAGCUUGACACUGAACAUUGAGCCUUGAUGUGUAGGAUAGGUGGGAGGCUUUGAAGUGUGGACGCCAGUCUGCAUGGAGCCGACCUUGAAAUACCACCCUUUAAUGUUUGAUGUUCUAACGUUGGCCCGUAAUCCGGGUUGCGGACAGUGUCUGGUGGGUAGUUUGACUGGGGCGGUCUCCUCCUAAAGAGUAACGGAGGAGCACGAAGGUUGGCUAAUCCUGGUCGGACAUCAGGAGGUUAGUGCAAUGGCAUAAGCCAGCUUGACUGCGAGCGUGACGGCGCGAGCAGGUGCGAAAGCAGGUCAUAGUGAUCCGGUGGUUCUGAAUGGAAGGGCCAUCGCUCAACGGAUAAAAGGUACUCCGGGGAUAACAGGCUGAUACCGCCCAAGAGUUCAUAUCGACGGCGGUGUUUGGCACCUCGAUGUCGGCUCAUCACAUCCUGGGGCUGAAGUAGGUCCCAAGGGUAUGGCUGUUCGCCAUUUAAAGUGGUACGCGAGCUGGGUUUAGAACGUCGUGAGACAGUUCGGUCCCUAUCUGCCGUGGGCGCUGGAGAACUGAGGGGGGCUGCUCCUAGUACGAGAGGACCGGAGUGGACGCAUCACUGGUGUUCGGGUUGUCAUGCCAAUGGCACUGCCCGGUAGCUAAAUGCGGAAGAGAUAAGUGCUGAAAGCAUCUAAGCACGAAACUUGCCCCGAGAUGAGUUCUCCCUGAGACUUAGAGUCUCCUGAAGGAACGUUGAAGACGACGACGUUGAUAGGCCGGGUGUGUAAGCGCAGCGAUGCGUUGAGCUAACCGGUACUAAUGAACCGUGAGGCUUAACCUU
Molecule: ribosomal RNA, 2902 nt
Filed under: Escherichia coli
Lineage: Bacteria; Pseudomonadati; Pseudomonadota; Gammaproteobacteria; Enterobacterales; Enterobacteriaceae
Description: 23S ribosomal RNA
Rfam family: Bacterial large subunit ribosomal RNA
Source: RNAcentral